GCCAAAAAAGAUACGGAUCAAAAUUUAAAGAUACGGAUCAAAUUUAAGGUUUGAUUUAUUUAGUCUCUAGCGAUGUGAAAAUGCCAAAUGCAUCAUCCAAAGACACCAAUGCGACCACAAUUUCACACCCUUCUCUCUUUCUCUCAUCAUUAUAUUGCAUCUGUUUUGUUCUGCAAAUUUGGGGAACUCAACUUUCAUGGAGUUUAUGUACAAGAUUACGACACUAUUCUGAAGUGGAUUCUGCAUAAGCAACAUUAAAGGUGCAUCAAGGUGUGUGCUUUGACAAUAUAAUCUGCAGCUAAAUAUAUUUUCUACCCCCACAGAUAGAAAAGGUGAAUGGAAGAGACACCGGACGGGCACAUUUCGUAAGGUAUGUUGAUGUAAAGACUAUACAUGAUUUGGUUUGGAAAGUAAACUGAACUGUUGUUACAGCAGUUCGAUAAAACUGAACCGAACCGUUAAUGGUUCGUGAGUUCGUCCAGAAUCAAACCGAACUGGUAUAUAGGUUCGGUGCACCAGUUCUGUGGUUCCAAACCGGAAUUACCUCUACCAAAAAGUGAACUAUGCUUUUUCGAACCGAACUUAUUCUUUGUGGACUGAACUGUACCAAAUUGUUAUUAUUAGGACUGUUAGAAAAAACCAAAAACCGAACCAAAUUGAAUUUGAACCGUUAAAAUGAAUUGCACUAAAAAGCACCGAACUGUGAUGGAUAGUUCACAAACUGAACCCAUUUGAACUGGUUACUUGAAUCACUUCAUUUCGUGAACUCUUGGUCACAACUCGGGAUUUUUUUUGCUGUUCAGUUUUUGGUUUUUUUGACAGUCCUAGUUGGUGUUAUUUGUUAGUUUUUCAGCAACAGGGAAAAAAUUGCUAUUGGUAAGUGAAUUAAUCCCAUAAUUGGAAUCUUUUACCGGUUAUUUCAGUAGCUGCCAGGUAUGUUGAUACGAUUCAUAUGUACUUAUUACCCUAUUUCCAUUCA
This is a long non-coding RNA of Trifolium pratense (red clover), 979 nucleotides long. RefSeq lists it as uncharacterized. The transcript has 2 exons. The record is from RefSeq and is a predicted model, not a curated record. NCBI's taxonomy places the organism in Eukaryota, Viridiplantae, Streptophyta, Magnoliopsida, Fabales, Fabaceae.